RNAcentral lists this ribosomal RNA (253 nucleotides) under uncultured bacterium. RNAcentral's name for it is "partial 16S ribosomal RNA". It matches the Rfam family "Bacterial small subunit ribosomal RNA", at positions 524 to 776 of the family's 1533-position model. The record is from RNAcentral.
UACGUAGGUGACAAGCGUUGUCCGGAUUUAUUGGGCAUAAAGCGAGCGCAGGCGGCUCUUUAAGUCUGAUGUGAAAGCCCACGGCUCAACCGUGGAACGGCAUUGGAAACUGGAGAGCUUGAAUGUAGAAGAGGAAAGUAGAAUUCCAUGUGUAGCGGUGGAAUGCGUAGAUGUAUGGAGGAACACCAGUGGCGAAGGCGACUUUCUGGUCUACUAUUGACGCUGAGGCUCGAAAGCGUGGGGAGCGAACAGG